Molecule: transfer RNA, 75 nt
Filed under: Hippoglossus stenolepis (Pacific halibut)
Lineage: Eukaryota; Metazoa; Chordata; Actinopteri; Pleuronectiformes; Pleuronectidae
Description: tRNA-Ala
Rfam family: tRNA
About the family: Transfer RNA (tRNA) molecules are approximately 80 nucleotides in length. Their secondary structure includes four short double-helical elements and three loops (D, anti-codon, and T loops). Further hydrogen bonds mediate the characteristic L-shaped molecular structure. tRNAs have two regions of fundamental functional importance: the anti-codon, which is responsible for specific mRNA codon recognition, and the 3' end, to which the tRNAs corresponding amino acid is attached (by aminoacyl-tRNA synthetases). tRNAs cope with the degeneracy of the genetic code in two manners: having more than one tRNA (with a specific anti-codon) for a particular amino acid; and 'wobble' base-pairing, i.e. permitting non-standard base-pairing at the 3rd anti-codon position.
Source: RNAcentral
GGGGGAUUAGCUCAAAUGGUAGAGCGCUCGCUUUGCAUGUGUGAGAGGUAGUGGGAUCGAUGCCCACAUUCUCCA